UUGAACCUGGCCUUCAUUGC
RNAcentral lists this unclassified non-coding RNA (20 nucleotides) under Mus musculus (house mouse). RNAcentral describes it as "oocyte_clustered_small_RNA8905". The record is from RNAcentral. Lineage: Eukaryota; Metazoa; Chordata; Mammalia; Rodentia; Muridae.